Molecule: ribosomal RNA, 1969 nt
Filed under: Myxobolus sp. C13
Lineage: Eukaryota; Metazoa; Cnidaria; Myxozoa; Bivalvulida; Myxobolidae
Description: SSU rRNA
Rfam family: Eukaryotic small subunit ribosomal RNA
Source: RNAcentral
AAUAAUAGCCCAACCGAAGUUACCCAUGGCAUGGUGCCAGUUUCAUACAUUUAUAAAGUGAGACUGCGGAAGGCUCAGUAAAUCAGUUAUAAUCUAUUCGAAAGUACACCAUUGGAUAACCGUGGGAAAUCUAGAGCUAAUACAUGCGCUAAUGGCAGCGUACAGUAAUGUACGUUGCUGGCAUUUAUUGGACAAAACCAAAUGUUACACAAUCCCUGUGGUUGUGUAAUAGGGUGAAUCUAGAUAACUGAGCAGAUCGCAUGGCGUAAAGCCGGCGACGUUUCGAUUGAAUUUCUGCCCUAUCAACUCGUUGGUAAGGUAGUGGCUUACCAAGGUUGCAACGGGUAACGGGGGAUCAGGGUUCGAUUCCGGAGAGGGAGCCUGAGAAACGGCUACCACAUCCAAGGAAGGCAGCAGGCGCGUAAAUUACCCAAUCCAGACAAUGGGAGGUGGUGACCAGAAGUACUGAGUGGUCGUCAUAGACGACUAAUCUUGGAAUGAGCAUAAAGUAAAAAUGUAGUCGAGUAUCAACUGGAGGGCAAGUCUGGUGCCAGCAGCCGCGGUAAUUCCAGCUCCAGUGGCGUGUCGUAAAGUUGAUGCGUUUAAAACGCUCGUAGUUGGAUCAUGUCGUCUUGUCUACCUAUUACAUGCACAUUUAGACGUUGAAUCCAUCUCUGCAGUCUGCUGGUAUCUGCUAGUGGACACGGUAGUGUGUGGAGUUUAAAUGUGUAUGAGGGUAGAAAUGAGACUAGUUGCGUGUAAGAAUGAUGAUUGGCCUUAAGUGUGUCGGUCAGCGUGUCUUACAGGGUGUGCCUUGAAUAAAUCAGAGUGCUUAAAGCAGGCUUGUGCUUGAAUGAUACAGCAUGGAACGAACAAACGUGAGAAGUGUAUAUAUGAGAACCGAUUUAGGUAUUUGUAUAAACAUAACACCAACCACUAUGUACGGAUGUUGGUUUCCGUAUUAGGGUGAUGAUUAAAACGAGCGGUUGGGGGCAUUGGUAUUUGGCCGCGAGAGGUGAAAUUCUUAGACCGGCCAAGGACUAACAAAAGCGAAGGCAUUUGCCAAGACCGUAUCGAAUAAUCAAAGAACGAAAGAAAAAAGGUUCAAAGACGGAUCAGAUACCGUCCAAAUUCUCUCUGUAAAACUAUGCCAACCAGAGAUCAGUCUAGAGUUAUUAAUUACGCUCUAGGUGGUCCCCCUGGGAAACCUGAAGUGUUUGGGUUACGGGGGGAGUAUGGUCGCAAGGCUGAAACUUAAAAGAAAUUGACGGAAGGGCACCACCAGGGGUGGAGCCUGCGGCUUAAUUUGACUCAACACGGGAAAACUCACCGGUUCCGGACGUCAAAAGGAUAGACAGACUGAUAGAUCUUUCUUGAUAUGAUGUGUGGUGGUGCAUGGCCGUUCUUAGUUCGUGAAGUGAUUUGUCGGGUCAAUUCCGGUAACGGACGAGACCAAAGCCUCCGUUUACGCUGCGAAAUAGCAACGUCAUCGCGUAUGCUCUAGUUAUGGGUUCCAACUGCUGGUGUUCGCACUGGUGGGGGGUUUCUAUGACUUUUCUUUCGUAAUGUCGUGUGUGGCAACACAUGCGUCUGCAUGGAGGGACAACUGACUUAAAUCAGAGGAAGUUUGGCAAUAACAGGUCUGUGAUGCCCUUAGACGUACCGGGCUGCACGCGCGCUACAAUGACAGCGACAACGAGUUAUCUGCUCCGAAAGGAGUGGGGAAUCUGUUAAUCGCUAGUCGUGAUGGGGACCGUCCAUUGUAAGUUGGACGCGAAAUAGGAAUCCCUUGUACGUGCACUUCACUUAGAGUGCGCGGAAUGAGUCCCUGCCCUUUGUACACACCGCCCGUCGCUACUACCGAGUGAAUGGUGUCAUGAUGCGUUGGGACCGGAACGUGCGUUCAGUGUAACUACUUGAAUGGGUGCUGGGCAUCAAAGUACAACGGCGCAAAUUAAGGAUAGUUUUG